UGAGUAACCUGCCCUUCACUCUGGGAUAACUCCGGGAAACCGGGGCUAAUACUGGAUACGACUCGAACAGGCAUCUGUAUCGGGUGGAAAGAUUUAUUGGUGGAGGAUGGACUCGCGGCCUAUCAGCUUGUUGGUGAGGUAAUGGCUCACCAAGGCGACGACGGGUAGCCGGCCUGAGAGGGCGAUCGGCCACACUGGGACUGAGACACGGCCCAGACUCCUACGGGAGCA
RNAcentral lists this ribosomal RNA (231 nucleotides) under uncultured bacterium. RNAcentral describes it as "partial 16S ribosomal RNA". It matches the Rfam family "Bacterial small subunit ribosomal RNA", at positions 118 to 347 of the family's 1533-position model. The record is from RNAcentral.